UUCCUUCUCUGCUGGCGGCGCCUCACUAAGAAACGACGGCUGCGUCCAUGCGGGUUAGGCCCGCGCUCGCCGGGGUGCAUGCGGGUCCGGGUCCGCUGGGGGGUAAAGGGUGCCUGCUGCGCCCUGUAGGUCAGUGGUGAAAUCCCCGAGCUUAACUUGGGAACUGCCAUUGAUACUGCAAGUCUUGAAUUUUCUGGAGGUAAGCGGAAUAUGUCAUGUAGCGGUGAAAUGCUUAGAUAUGACAUAGAACACCCAUUGCGAAGGCAGCUUACUACGGGAAUAUUGACGCUGAGGCACGAAAGCGUGGGGAUCAAACAGGAUUAGAUACCCUGGUAGUCCACGCCCUAAACGAUGAUUACUCGACAUUAGCGAUAUUACAGUUAGUGUCUAAGCGAAAGCAUUAAAUUAUCCACCUGGGAAGUACGACCGCAAGGUUGAAACUCAAAUGA
Molecule: ribosomal RNA, 449 nt
Filed under: uncultured bacterium
Lineage: Bacteria
Description: bacterial SSU rRNA
Rfam family: Bacterial small subunit ribosomal RNA
Source: RNAcentral